This 429-nucleotide ribosomal RNA is filed under the name Chloroflexota bacterium. RNAcentral's name for it is "Chloroflexi bacterium partial 16S ribosomal RNA". It matches the Rfam family "Bacterial small subunit ribosomal RNA", at positions 355 to 776 of the family's 1533-position model. Lineage: Bacteria; Bacillati; Chloroflexota. The record is from RNAcentral.
UGGGGAAUAUUGCACAAUGGGCGCAAGCCUGAUGCAGCCAUGCCGCGUGUGUGAAGAAGGCCUUCGGGUUGUAAAGCACUUUCAGCGGGGAGGAAGGCGAUAAGGUUAAUAACCUUGUCGAUUGACGUUACCCGCAGAAGAAGCACCGGCUAACUCCGUGCCAGCAGCCGCGGUAAUACGGAGGGUGCAAGCGUUAAUCGGAAUUACUGGGCGUAAAGCGCACGCAGGCGGUCUGUCAAGUCGGAUGUGAAAUCCCCGGGCUUAACCUGGGAACUGCAUUCGAAACUGGCAGGCUAGAGUCUUGUAGAGGGGGGUAGAAUUCCAGGUGUAGCGGUGAAAUGCGUAGAGAUCUGGAGGAAUACCGGUGGCAAAGGCGGCCCCCUGGACAAAGACUGACGCUCAGGUGCGAAAGCGUGGGGAGCAAACAGG